GUCUAAAGAGAAUGACAUUUUGCCAAGGCCUAACUCUAUUGGGUAUGGCAGCAGUACUUCAUCCUCUGGCAGUCAGUCAUCAUCCUCUUCUGGCCGAGGGUCCCUCUCUCUCAACGGCUACCUUAGUGGCCAGUAUUGGAAAGGGACCAAAGGUCCUAUGGAAUCUCCAGCUCCCAGGACUUUGGAGGAGGAUGAUCUGGAUAAUGAAAAUGAGACGCAUUUGCUAAGUUAGUCUUCCUGUGAAUAAAAGUCAUGAAGCACUUGAUUUAAACUGCAACAGAAUGCAAUUUAGUUCAGGAGAACUAAAUGUCUUACUCAUUUUUUGUGCCACAGUUGGCAGCUCUGAAUCCUCUGGGGCCAGUGUGAGUGACUUUAGCAGCUCAGACCACAGCUGCCUGUCUGCGAUUGGUGGGGAGGUGGAGGACUCGUCGUCUGUGUCCUCAACAUUUCCCUUCAAAGCUGGCCAUGUCCAUAACACACAGCCCAGUUGCCAGAAGUGUGGUUCUCCUGAGCUGGGCCCAAAAAGACUCCCAACUGCUCCAAAUGCACAGAUUCUGUCAGUUUGGAAAAGUUAAAAGGAAGACAUGGACUGAAGUCUGAAAUGUCUGUUCAGCUGGUGACUUUGGGCCCACCAAAACUAAAGGUCUC
RNAcentral lists this long non-coding RNA (648 nucleotides) under Scleropages formosus (Asian bonytongue). RNAcentral's name for it is "lncRNA (ENSSFOG00015024792.1)". Lineage: Eukaryota; Metazoa; Chordata; Actinopteri; Osteoglossiformes; Osteoglossidae. The record is from RNAcentral.